UACGGGGGGAGCAAGCGUUGUUCGGAUUUACUGGGCGUAAAGGGCGCGUAGGCGGUCGUGACAAGUCACUUGUGAAAUCUCCGGGCUUAACUCGGAACGGCCAAGUGAUACUGUCGGACUAGAGUACAGAAGGGGCAACUGGAAUUCUCGGUGUAGCGGUGAAAUGCGUAGAUAUCGAGAGGAACACCUGCGGCGAAGGCGGGUUGCUGGGCUGAUACUGACGCUGAGAAGCGAAAGCGUGGGGAGCGAACAGG
Molecule: ribosomal RNA, 254 nt
Filed under: uncultured bacterium
Lineage: Bacteria
Description: partial 16S ribosomal RNA
Rfam family: Bacterial small subunit ribosomal RNA
Source: RNAcentral